AUCCGAAUAGUGCUCAACUCAAACAGUCCUGUGACUCCUCACAAGGACUACCCUGGGCAAGAUUUUGCUAAAUUGAAACAUGACUGUACACAGCUCCUAAACUGGAGUGGUCAAUCCCAUCUUGACACACGCACCGAUAAGUCAAGUACUUGACUACACCCAGCAACCUUCCGUCACUAAAUUAAAAAUUUAGGUAGUCCAGUGCCUAAGUGCAGUGAGUUACUUGCAAGUCACCGUGGUGGUCUC
This 246-nucleotide long non-coding RNA is filed under the name Elaeis guineensis (African oil palm). Its description in RNAcentral is "long non-coding RNA (EGUI_LNC070348)". Lineage: Eukaryota; Viridiplantae; Streptophyta; Magnoliopsida; Arecales; Arecaceae. The record is from RNAcentral.